RNAcentral lists this ribosomal RNA (450 nucleotides) under uncultured bacterium. Its description in RNAcentral is "partial 16S ribosomal RNA". It matches the Rfam family "Bacterial small subunit ribosomal RNA", at positions 354 to 796 of the family's 1533-position model. The record is from RNAcentral.
GUGGGGAAUUUUGGACAAUGGGCGCAAGCCUGAUCCAGCAAUGCCGCGUGCAGGAAGAAGGCCUUCGGGUUGUAAACUGCUUUUGUACGGAACGAAACGGUCCUGGCUAAUACCUGGGGCUAAUGACGGUACCGUAAGAAUAAGCACCGGCUAACUACGUGCCAGCAGCCGCGGUAAUACGUAGGGUGCGAGCGUUAAUCGGAAUUACUGGGCGUAAAGCGUGCGCAGGCGGUGCUGUAAGACAGGCGUGAAAUCCCCGGGCUCAACCUGGGAAUUGCGCUUGUGACUGCAGUGCUGGAGUGCGGCAGAGGGGGAUGGAAUUCCGCGUGUAGCAGUGAAAUGCGUAGAUAUGCGGAGGAACACCGAUGGCGAAGGCAAUCCCCUGGGCCUGCACUGACGCUCAUGCACGAAAGCGUGGGGAGCAAACAGGAUUAGAAACCCUGGUAGUCC